This is a non-coding RNA of Procambarus clarkii (red swamp crayfish), 1398 nucleotides long. Lineage: Eukaryota; Metazoa; Arthropoda; Malacostraca; Decapoda; Cambaridae. The record is from RefSeq and is a predicted model, not a curated record.
GCGGUCAUAUCCUGUAUAGUCUUACCAGUAUAUGGUCAUAAUGGUGUAAUAGUCGUGCGUAAUAGCCCAGAACCGCACUUCUUUGCCUAUUAUGCAAGGCUCGAUGUGCCUAGCAGGCAGAAUGAUUUUCGUUAUUUUCAGUUAUAUCUUUCCAGAUUGGUUCUUUUUUAACAAUAAUCUAUUAUAUUAGGAACGUCAAUUACUGAGUUAGGUUAAGUUAGGUUUAAUCCAAUUUGUUAGUUUUAAUUCAAAUAACAUAAAAUUGCAAUCAUAUAAUACAAUGAAAACUAUCAUUGCCUAAGAACAAAAUUGAAUAAAUUUAAUGUUUCCCGAAAAUUCGGCUUGUUAGGCAAGUCUGGCUAUUAUGUGCGACAUAAUCACCGCCAAACUACCGGCGAGAGCGGCCUUGUCUCCUCUCAUCUUAACGCUAAAAAUAGUUAGAAGUGAGAGCCGCACCUGCCUCAAUCCCCCUCUCACAGCCCAGAAACCCGGCCAUAUUCCCACCACCAUAACUUGUGUUUGAGUGAAGUGCCAGCCAGAACACCUUGACAGGACGGGCCACGUGCUCCUGGGUUUGAUUGAUUGAUAAAGAUUAAGCCACCCAAGAGGUGGCACGGGCAUGAAUAGCCCGUAAAGGCUCAUGGGGUUUGUAUCAUAGGGCCAUAUAUCAGCGGUGGGCCCAUGGUGUUCUGGUCUCUGGGGCUGACAUUGUGUUCUGACGGCCCUAGCGACGGUAAUUUGUAUGAAAUUACAACUUGAAACUUAUGAAGUACUGGCCAAAGAUAUGUCAAAAUUAUGUUCUCUGCAAAAGCUAUUGACUAAAUAUCCUGAACAUUUAAGUCAUACACAGACCUCUGGUUGGGAAUCGCUGAUCUAGACUUUUACCUCCGUGCAUCUCCCAAGCCCAUUCACACAGCUGACCACCCCAUUUACCUCCAAUCUGUUAGCCAGCAAGUCACUCCAGUUAUCCACUGUCCCACCACCAAACCAGCACCUCCCCAAGCCAGUAAGUCACUCCAGUUAUCCACUGUCGCACCACCAAACCAGCACCUCCCCAUAUUCCCCUCCAAACUUCUCCAGCCCACAGUUUCACUGCCGACACCCAUCGUCCACUUUAAAACCCACAUCACGUCUUCCCUCGUUCUGCACAUCUCCAUGUAUGGGCAGUCUCUAAUACCUGUGAUUAGACUAGUCAUCCUACAUUGAAUUUUCUUGGUGGAACUGGUGUCUUCUAUAUAAUAUGGGGACCAGAAUUAUACAGUACUGUACAGCAUUCUGGAUGACAUUUAUAUAGUUACAGUACAGUGGCACCUCGACUUACGAUUGCCCCGACUUAUGAUAAUUUCGAGUUACGAUGUAAAUUUCAUAGAAAAAUGCGACUCGACGUACGAUAGUGUC